CUUGUUCUAGGGAGCACUCACUAGCUGGAGUAGGUCUUCCCAUAACACGAAAGAAUAAUUAGCAGAGUGAGAUUGAGCCAUGCCAUUGGACCACCUGGGGAGGAGGUUAUGUGGAGAGAUUUGCUGCAUUUCUAAAGAAUCUCAGAAAACAAGCUUCAUUUCAGAACCUAAACCAGCAUUUGCUUUUCUUCACUUUGAGGGAGCACACAGGCCUACAGGACCCCGUCUGUGAAAGGGAGAGUCCUCCUACCUCCUCCCCUGUGAAUGGAAAAAGGCUUCAGAAUGGAAGAUGGGCAGGCAGUGGAUAGAUUUCUACUUUCUGAGGGCAGGGCCUGUGUCUCUCCUCCCUGACUUCCCCUAUCUAAAUAACCCAAAUCCAGAAGUAGGAGUCGAUUGGGGGACUCAGGAUAGCCUCCAUAACCCACGGCCUAACCACUGCAGACAGCCCAGGAAGCCAGAGGGAAGGCGUCCUCCUGACUUGUCCUUUGCUCAAUCCUGAACUGAGGGGAGUUGAAGGUGCUUGCGUUAUUAG
Molecule: long non-coding RNA, 532 nt
Organism: Balaenoptera ricei (Rice's whale)
Lineage: Eukaryota; Metazoa; Chordata; Mammalia; Artiodactyla; Balaenopteridae
Exons: 3
Source: RefSeq, a predicted model, not a curated record